RNAcentral lists this ribosomal RNA (358 nucleotides) under uncultured bacterium. RNAcentral's name for it is "bacterial SSU rRNA". It matches the Rfam family "Bacterial small subunit ribosomal RNA", at positions 527 to 887 of the family's 1533-position model. The record is from RNAcentral.
GGAGGGUGCAAGCGUUAUCCGGAUUMACUGGGUUUAAAGGGUGCGUAGGAGGGCAGGUAAGUCAGUGGUGAAAUCUCCAAGCUUAACUUGGAAACUGCCGUUGAUACUAUCUGUCUUGAAUACCGUGGAGGUGAGCGGAAUAUGUCAUGUAGCGGUGAAAUGCUUAGAUAUGACAUAGAACACCAAUUGCGAAGGCAGCUCGCUACACGAAUAUUGACUCUGAGGCACGAAAGCGUGGGGAUCAAACAGGAUUAGAUACCCUGGUAGUCCACGCCCUAAACGAUGGAUACUCGACAUACGCGAUACACAGUGUGUGUCUGARSGRAAGCAUUAAGUAUCCCACCUGGGAAGUACGACC